UCUUGUCCCCUUGGAUGGGUAGUCGACAUUAGCUGAUGCGGGCUUUGUGUGGUAUCGCUUGAACUUGCUUUUCUCUCUCUUUCCCUCCCAUCAGGUAGGGCGGAUUUAGCUCCAACUUUGCGACCUUAGCUUAGGCGAGAACAGCCACUGAGUUUAAGCAUUUAAUUAAGUGGAGGAAAGGAAACUUACAAGGAUUCCCCUAGUAGCGGUGAGUGAACCGAGAAGAGCCCAGCAUGAAAAUCGGGUGGUAGCAUCGCCUGAAUUGUAGUAUGUAGAAGCAUCCUCAAUGGUGGACCUGGGCCAAGUCCCUUGGAAGGGGGUGCUUGAGAGGGUGAUAGCCCUGUUGGCCCGGGACCCUGCCACAUCACAGUGCAUUCUCAGCGAGUCAGGUUGUUUGGGAAUGCAGCCCUAAUUGGGUGGUAAAUUAUGUCCAAGGCUAACUACGGGCGAGAGACCGAUAGUGAAAAAGUACCACAAGGGACUUUGAAAAGAGAGUAAAAGAGUUCUUGAAAUUUCCAGGAGGGAAGUGGAUGGAGGCUAUCGAUGCAUCUCAGUUGGAUGUGGAAGCGCGCAACCUAUACUCGACUGUCGGAGCAAUUUCCUGACUCCAAUGAGUAGAAGGAUGUGGGGGUUGUUGAGAAACCUUGGGCAUGAUCUUGGGUGGAUCGGCCCCUAGUGAAAAUCUUGGUGGUAGUAGAAAAUAUUCAAAUGAGAACUUUUAAGACUGAAGUGGGGAAAGGUUCCAUGUGAACAAGACUUGGACAUGGGUUAGUUAAUCCUAAGAGAUGGGGAAGCCUUGUAUCAAGGGUUCACUCUGCAUGAGCAUCGAAAGGGAAUCGGGUUAAUAUUCUUGAACCGGGACAUGUCGGCGAGCGACAACGUUAGGAAAUCCGGAGACGUCGUCGAGGGCCCCGGGAAGAGUUAUCUUUUCUUUUUAACAGCUUGCCCACCCUAGAAUCGGUUCACCCGGAGAUAGGGUCCAAUAGCUGGAAGAACACCACACGUCUUGCCAUUUUCGGUGCACCAUCGGCAGCCCUUGAAAAUCUGGAGGACCAAGUACUGUUCAUGCCCGGUCAUACUCAUAACUGCACCAGAACUCCAAGGUGAACAGCCUCUGGUCAAUAGAACAAUGUAGGUAAGGGAAGUCGGCAAAACGGAUCUGUAACUUCGGGAAAAGAAUUAGAUCUGAGGGUUGGGCCUAUGGGUCUGCGCCCUCAAUUCAUGGGUUGUCGAUAGUCUGCCCGAGCUGCUCUCAUGGAGAGGGUGGGCAGUUGCAUUCCGAUUGUGCUACGGGCGUAGAAUUCCCCCUGCCGGGGGAUUUUCCCUAGGUGUCGAACAGUCAACUUAGAACUGGUAUGGAUAAGGGGAAUCCAACUGUUUAAUUAAAACAAAGAAUUGCGAUGGUCCUUGCGAAUGCUGACGCAAUGUGAUUUCUACCCAGUGCUCUAAAUGUCAAAGUGAAGAAAUUCAACCAAGCGCAGGUAAACGGUGGGAGUAACUAUGACUCUCUUAAGGUAGCCAAAUGCCUUUUCAUCUAAUUAGUGACGCACAUGAAUGGAUUAACGAGAUUCCCACUGUCCCUAUCUACUAUCUAGCGAAACCACAGCCAAGGGAAUGGGUUUGGCAGAAUCAGCGGGGAAAGAAGACCCUGUUGAGCUUGACUCUAGUCCGACUUUGUGAAAUGACUUGAGAGGUGUAGAAUAAGUGGGAGUUGUUUUUAGCGCAAGUGAAAUACCACUACUUUUAUGGUUAUUUUACUUAUUAUGUGGGGCAGAGAUGGGGCACUACUCCUGUUUUUUGCCUUAAGGCACGUUUCGAUGGGUCGAUCUGGGUGGAAGACAUUGUCAGGUGGGGAGUUUGACUAGGGCGGCACAUCUAUUAAAAGAUAACGCAAGUGUCCUAAGAUGAGCUCAACGAGAAUAGAAAUCUCAUGUGGAACAAAAGGGUAAAAGCUCAUUUGAUUUUGAUUUUCAGUACGAAUACAAACCGUGAAAGCGUGGCCUAUCGAUCCUUUAGAUUUUUGGAAUUUGAAGCUAGAGGUGUUAGAAAAGUUACCACAGGGAUAACUGGCUUGUGGCAGCCAAUCGUUCAUAGUGACGUUGCUUUUUGAUCCUUCGAUGUCGGCUCUUCCUAUCAUUGUGAAGCAGAAUUCACCAAGUGUUGGAUUCUUCACCCACCAAUAGGGAACGUGAGUUGGGUUUAGACCGUUGUGAGAUAGGUUAGUUUUACCCUACUAAUGAACCGCAUCGCAAUAGUAAUUCAACUUAGUAUGAGAGGAAUCAUUGAUUCACACAAUUGGUCAUCACGCUUGGUUGAAAAGCUAGUGGCGCGAAGCUACCGUGUGUCGGAUUAUGACUGAACACCUCUAAGUUAGAAUCCACACUAGAAGCGGUGCAUGUCACUCUUUGACUGUAUCUCGACCCGUAGUAGGGGCGUCACUUUGUCGCCCCCAGGGGCCCGUGUUAUUUGCAAACCAUGACCGUGAAGCAUCUCGAUUGGGGUAGCUUUGAAGUUCAAUUCCAAACGGUCGUUGAGAAGAAUCCUUUGCAGACAACUUAAAUACGCGACAGGGUAUUGUAAGUGGUAGAGUGGCCUUGUUGCCACAAUCCACUAAGGUUCAGCCCUUGGUCGCCUCGAUUCAGAGCUUCGCUCUUG
Molecule: ribosomal RNA, 2655 nt
Filed under: Pinus taeda (loblolly pine)
Lineage: Eukaryota; Viridiplantae; Streptophyta; Pinopsida; Pinales; Pinaceae
Description: eukaryotic LSU rRNA
Rfam family: Eukaryotic large subunit ribosomal RNA
Source: RNAcentral